UACGGGGGGAGCAAACGUUGUUCGGAAUUACUGGGCGUAAAGCGCGUGUAGGCGGUUAUGCAAGUCGGAUGUGAAAGCCCUCGGCUCAACCGGGGAAGUGCACCCGAAACUGCGUGACUAGAGUCUCGGAGAGGAUCGUGGAAUUCUCGGUGUAGAGGUGAAAUUCGUAGAUAUCGAGAGGAACACCGGUGGCGAAGGCGGCGAUCUGGACGGUGACUGACGCUGAGGUGCGAAAGCGUGGGGAGCGAACAGG
Molecule: ribosomal RNA, 253 nt
Filed under: uncultured bacterium
Lineage: Bacteria
Description: partial 16S ribosomal RNA
Rfam family: Bacterial small subunit ribosomal RNA
Source: RNAcentral